Molecule: unclassified non-coding RNA, 517 nt
Filed under: Hevea brasiliensis (rubber tree)
Lineage: Eukaryota; Viridiplantae; Streptophyta; Magnoliopsida; Malpighiales; Euphorbiaceae
Source: RNAcentral
GUUCUUGGUUCCCUGCUAUUCCCAUUUCUCUUUCUUUCUCUUAAGAUUCAUCUCUUUGCAAAUUCUUUUUUUUCAUGUUUUUCUUUAAGUUUACAUGACCCAUUUCACUAAAUCUAUCAAAGAUUCAAUCUUUAAUACAAUGGAUCAUAUACAAUUAACAUUUCUUGCAAUAAUUUGUCUGUCAGCAAUUUUCAAGAUUGUCCCUCUUUGUUCAUCAUACCCUACUCCAUCAAACUGUACGGACACUGGUCGCUUGUGCACUUCCUUCUUGGCUUUUAAACCUAGCCCGGAACAGACCCUCCCCGUGAUUCAAAGCAUGUUUGAUGUGUUACCUAAUGACAUAACUGUUGAAGGAAAUGGUAAAGGUUAUGUCUUUAUCAGAAAGAACUGUUCUUGUGCUUAUGGGAUGAGAAAGUACUUGACAAACACUACAUUUACUGUCAGAAAGAACAAUGGAUCUGUCUAUAAUAUGGUUGUUGAUGCCUAUGAUGGUUUGGCUUAUUUUCCAACUAAUUUU